ACGCUGGCGGCGUGCCUAAUACAUGCAAGUAGAACGCUGAAGGAGGAGCUUGCUUCUCUGGAUGAGUUGCGAACGGGUGAGUAACGCGUAGGUAACCUGCCUGGUAGCGGGGGAUAACAAUUGGAAACGAUAGCUAAUACCGCAUAACAGUAGAUGUUGCAUGACAUUUGCUUAAAAGGUGCAAUUGCAUCACUACCAGAUGGACCUGCGUUGUAUUAGCUAGUUGGUGGGGUAACGGCUCACCAAGGCGACGAUACAUAGCCGACCUGAGAGGGUGAUCGGCCACACUGGGACUGAGACACGGCCCAGACUCCUACGGGAGGCAGCAGUAGGGAAUCUUCGGCAAUGGACGGAAGUCUGACCGAGCAACGCCGCGUGAGUGAAGAAGGUUUUCGGAUCGUAAAGCUCUGUUGUAAGAGAAGAACGAGUGUGAGAGUGGAAAGUUCACACUGUGACGGUAUCUUACCAGAAAGGGACGGCUAACUACGUGCCAGCAGCCGCGGUAAUACGUAGGUCCCGAGCGUUGUCCGGAUUUAUUGGGCGUAAAGCGAGCGCAGGCGGUUAGAUAAGUCUGAAGUUAAAGGCUGUGGCUUAACCAUAGUACGCUUUGGAAACUGUUUAACUUGAGUGCAAGAGGGGAGAGUGGAAUUCCAUGUGUAGCGGUGAAAUGCGUAGAUAUAUGGAGGAACACCGGUGGCGAAAGCGGCUCUCUGGCUUGUAACUGACGCUGAGGCUCGAAAGCGUGGGGAGCAUACAGGAUUAGAUACCCUGGUAGUCCACGCCGUAAACGAUGAGUGCUAGGUGUUAGACCCUUUCCGGGGUUUAGUGCCGCAGCUAACGCAUUAAGCACUCCGCCUGGGGAGUACGACCGCAAGGUUGAAACUCAAAGGAAUUGACGGGGGGCCCCGCACAAGCGGU
RNAcentral lists this ribosomal RNA (918 nucleotides) under uncultured bacterium. RNAcentral's name for it is "bacterial SSU rRNA". It matches the Rfam family "Bacterial small subunit ribosomal RNA", at positions 33 to 933 of the family's 1533-position model. The record is from RNAcentral.